GAUGAACGCUGGCGGCGUGCCUAAUACAUGCAAGUCGAGCGAACAGACGAGGAGCUUGCUCCUCUGACGUUAGCGGCGGACGGGUGAGUAACACGUGGAUAACCUACCUAUAAGACUGGGAUAACUUCGGGAAACCGGAGCUAAUACCGGAUAAUAUAUUGAACCGCAUGGUUCAAUAGUGAAAGACGGUUUUGCUGUCACUUAUAGAUGGAUCCGCGCCGCAUUAGCUAGUUGGUAAGGUAACGGCUUACCAAGGCGACGAUGCGUAGCCGACCUGAGAGGGUGAUCGGCCACACUGGAACUGAGACACGGUCCAGACUCCGACGGGAGGAAGCAGUAGGGAAUCUUACGCAAUGGACGAAAGCCUGACGGAGCAACGCCGCGUGAGUGAUGAAGGUCUUAGGAUCGGAAAACUCUGUUAUUAGGGAAGAACAAAUGUGUAAGUAACUAUGCACGUCUUGACGGUACCUAAUCAGAAAGCCACGGCUAACUACGUG
This 497-nucleotide ribosomal RNA is filed under the name uncultured bacterium. RNAcentral's name for it is "partial 16S ribosomal RNA". It matches the Rfam family "Bacterial small subunit ribosomal RNA", at positions 28 to 507 of the family's 1533-position model. The record is from RNAcentral.